UCAGACUCUAUAUUAAACUCUUCUGGGAGAGGGACAAUGUUUUGAUAAUCUUUAUAUUUCCAUAGUACAUAGCCCAGUGCCAUAAAGCAGAAACUACAAAAAUAUCAAAUUUAUGAGAAAGCUCCCUAAAGAGCUUCACUGUUUUUAAUUUUUUUAUUUUAAAUUUUUGCAGGUACAUAGUAGAUAUAUAUUUAUGGAUACAUGAGAUGUUUGGAUACAGGCAUGCAAUGCACAAUAAUCAUUUCAUGGAGAGUGGGGUAGCCAUCCCCUCAAGCAAUUAUCCUUUGUGUUACAAACAAUCCAAUUAUACUCUUUUAGUAGUUUUAAAAUGUACAAUUAUUAUCAACUAUAGUCACCCUGUUGGGCUAUCAAAUAGUAGGUCUUACUUUAUUCUUUCUAUUAUUUUUGUACCCAUUAAACAUCCCCACCUCUCCCAACCCCCACUACCCUACCCAGCCUCUGGUAACCGUCCUUCUACUCUCUAUGUCCAUGAAUUCAAUUGUUUGAUUUUUAGAUCCCAUAAAUAAGUGAGAAUAUCCAAUGUUUCUCUUUCUGUGCCUUUCUUAUUUUACUUAACAUAAUGAUCUCCAGUUCUAUCUAUGUUGUUGCAAAUGAUAGGGUCUCUUUCUUUUUUUAUGGCUAAAUAGUACUCCAUUGUGUGUAUGUACAUUUUCUUUAUCCAUUCACUGUUAUUUUAAAUUCUCCUUCUUUUAAAAUUUUCUUUGAGAUUGUCAGUUCUUUAAGUUUUUGAUCUUUUUAAGCAAUUAUCCCUUGUCCCUUUAGAAUUUCUGUUCAUUCAAUUAUUCCUAUCUCCAAUUUUUGUUUGAAAUCUUCUUUCUUAGUAUUUUAGGUGGCAUAUAUGUUACACUUUCUCCAGCAUGUUGCUUUACACCCCAGCUUGACAUAGAAUUAUGUCUUCCUGUUAUUUGUCAUUUCUGCUUCUUCCUUAUUUGUCAGAAUUCAGUACACUCAAAUAAUUCCCAUUGUGGCUUCAUUAAACCUUGGAGAGAUGAAAUUAUUAAUAAGAAAAUCUAGAUGUAUUAUAGUCUUUGCUCUUUGCAGAAUGCAGCUGUUAGCAGAUGGCUGAUUAAUUGAUAUACUCCAUCACUAUUAUUAUUUCACACUUUGUCCUUUUGCUUAAAAGAGAGCAGUCUGGAUUUUAUUACUUAUAAAGACUUCUUAAAGUUAGGGAAACAAAAAACAAAACUAGUCUCAUGAUAUAGUCUCAUGAUAUUGAAGUGAGUCUUGGUUUGUUUGUUUUUUCCCCACCUUAGGGGCAUAAUCAACCCAUUUCCUGCUUCAAAAGGAAUCAGAGCUUUUCCACUUCAGUGUAUUCACAUAGCUGAAGGGCAUACAAAAGCUGUGCUCUGUGUGGAUUCUACUGAUGAUCUCCUCUUCACUGGAUCAAAAGAUCGUACUUGUAAAGUAUGGAAUCUGGUGACUGGGCAGGAAAUAAUGUCACUGGGGGGUCAUCCCAACAAUGUCGUGUCUGUAAAAUACUGUAAUUAUACCAGUUUGGUCUUCACUGUAUCAACAUCUUAUAUUAAGGUGUGGGAUAUCAGAGAUUCAGCAAAGUGCAUUCGAACACUAACGUCUUCAGGUCAAGUUACUCUUGGAGAUGCUUGUUCUGCAAGUACCAGUCGAACAGUAGCUAUUCCUUCUGGAGAGAACCAGAUCAAUCAAAUUGCCCUAAACCCAACUGGCACCUUCCUCUAUGCUGCUUCUGGAAAUGCUGUCAGGAUGUGGGAUCUUAAAAGGUUUCAGUCUACAGGAAAGUUAACAGGACACCUAGGCCCUGUUAUGUGCCUUACUGUGGAUCGGAUUUCCAAUGGACAAGAUCUAAUCAUCACUGGCUCCAAGGAUCAUUACAUCAAAAUGUUUGAUGUUACAGAAGGAGCUCUUGGGACUGUGAGUCCCACCCACAAUUUUGAACCCCCUCAUUAUGAUGGCAUAGAAGCACUAACCAUUCAAGGGGAUAACCUAUUUAGUGGGUCUAGAGAUAAUGGAAUCAAGAAAUGGGACUUAACUCAAAAAGACCUUCUUCAGCAAGUUCCAAAUGCACAUAAGGAUUGGGUCUGUGCCCUGGGAGUGGUGCCAGACCACCCAGUUUUGCUCAGUGGCUGCAGAGGGGGCAUUUUGAAAGUCUGGAACAUGGAUACUUUUAUGCCAGUUGGAGAGAUGAAGGGUCAUGAUAGUCCUAUCAAUGCCAUAUGUGUUAAUUCCACCCACAUUUUUACUGCAGCUGAUGAUCGAACUGUGAGAAUUUGGAAGGCUCGCAAUUUGCAAGAUGGUCAGAUCUCUGACACAGGAGAUCUGGGGGAAGAUAUUGCCAGUAAUUAAACAUGAAUGAAGAUAAGUUGUAAACUGAAUGCUGUGAUAAUACUCUGUAUUCUUUAUGGAAAAUGUUGUCCUGCACUUAUUAGGCAAAACAUAUGAAUCAGAUUAACUGGAAAAUAUAUCUGAAUUCAACUGCUGACUAUAAAUGGUAUUCUAAUAAAAUUGUGUACUAUCCUGUGUGCUUAGUUUUAAGAUCAACCAAUAGAUAUAUAUCCUACAAUUGAUAUAUUGCUUUAUUCGCACUUUUAUUGUGGCUGAAUUUUUGUGGCUAUCUAUAAAACACACUUUCAAAUUAUUUGAAUUACCCAGACAUCUGCUUUUGUGACAGUCAGAAAACACACCUGGAAUACGAUGCAGCCCACCGUUAACUCAUUCAUAUAGUUUAUUCAAGUGAUUUAUGUAUUUAAACAUAUUGAAAAUGUUAGUCAAAUUGUGGUUUGCUUGUCAGGUAUUUAUAUCAGUCUGUAGUGGGUUCCCAAAUUUCAAAGCUCUUUUAAUGUAAUGGACAAAAAUAAGAUAUGAGAAUAUUAUUGAUGAAUUUUCAUAAGGUGGAAUUGAUCUUAAUCUACUAACAGAGAAGGGUAGACAGUUUGUGUUAAAUUUUGGCAUUUACUUGUAUUGACCAAAGUUUUGCAGCUCUACUAUAUUCUGUGCUCAGGACUAAAAUGCUGUUAAUUUUUUUUUUUCCAGUGCUGUGCAUAUAUUCUGUGAUGGGAAACAUUGUUGAUGUCCUAACAGAAAUAUAUUUUGAUCUGUUUUCCUAUGGAGUUGUUUCUAUUAUGACCAUUUAAUUUUGUUUUUAUUUAAUAGUAGUAUUUCCUUCCCUUUUAUCUAAUUUUUUAUAUGCUGCUAAAUAUAUUUUAAAUAUACUAUGUUUGCGAACCUUGGUAGCUAUGAUGAGAGCUAUUAUCAUCUGUGGUGGGAAAAGCUAUGUAAAUAGGUAGAUUGUAUAGAGAGACUAUCUUGUGUGGUACCUGUAUGAAUUUUUAAAAGUUGUUGACUGGAUUUUGCAAAAGGAUGUAUAAUAUUUCUGUCUGCUCAGAAUAUUAAUUUGUAAAUUCUGCAAGUUUAAUUUUUAUGUAGAUGGUAUAACAUUUGAAAAUAUUGUCUUAUGUGAUUUUUUUCCCCUGAAAAUAUUUGCUUGUAAAUGAAAACUUAGCUAGGGCUUAAAUAAACAUGUUGCUACAAAAUUA
RNAcentral lists this small RNA (3530 nucleotides) under Pongo abelii (Sumatran orangutan). RNAcentral's name for it is "retained intron". The record is from RNAcentral. Lineage: Eukaryota; Metazoa; Chordata; Mammalia; Primates; Hominidae.